Molecule: ribosomal RNA, 799 nt
Filed under: uncultured Bacillota bacterium
Lineage: Bacteria; Bacillati; Bacillota
Description: bacterial SSU rRNA
Rfam family: Bacterial small subunit ribosomal RNA
Source: RNAcentral
GGGGAGCAAUCCCUGAGUAGAGUGGCAAACGGGUGAGUAACACGUGGGUGACCUGCCUCAGAGUGGGGGAUAACGUCCCGAAAGGGACGCUAAUACCGCAUAACAUCCUGCCUUUGGAAAGGCGGAGAUCAAAGCCGGGGAUCGCAAGACCUGGCGCUUGGAGAGGGGCCCGCGUCUGAUUAGCUAGUUGGUAGGGUAAUGGCCUACCAAGGCGACGAUCAGUAUCCGGCCUGAGAGGGCGGACGGACACACUGGGACUGAGACACGGCCCAGACUCCUACGGGAGGCAGCAGUGGGGAAUUGUUCGCAAUGGGCGCAAGCCUGACGACGCAACGCCGCGUGGAGGAUGAAGAUCUUCGGGUCGUAAACUCCUGUCGAGCGGGAAGAACACUUUCCGGGUGAACAAUCCGGAAGGCUGACGGUACCGCUAAAGGAAGCCCCGGCUAACUCCGUGCCAGCAGCCGCGGUAAUACGGGGGGGGCAAGCGUUGUUCGGAAUUACUGGGCGUAAAGGGCUCGUAGGCGGCCAACUAAGUCGGACGUGAAAUCCCCAGGCUCAACCUGGGAACUGCGUCCGAUACUGGAUGGCUUGAAUCCGGGAGAGGGAUGCAGAAUUCCAGGUGUAGCGGUGAAAUGCGUAGAUAUCUGGAGGAAUACCGGUGGCGAAGGCGGCAUCCUGGACCGGCAUUGACGCUGAGGAGCGAAAGCCAGGGGAGCAAACGGGAUUAGAUACCCCGGUAGUCCUGGCCCUAAACGAUGAAUGCUUGGUGUAACGGGUAUCGAUCCCUGUUGUGCCGAAG